GAAUCUUCCGCAAUGGACGAAAGUCUGACGGAGCAACGCCGCGUGAGUGAUGAAGGGUUUCGGCUCGUAAAGCUCUGUUAUGAGGGAAGAACACGUACCGUUCGAAUAGGGCGGUACCUUGACGGUACCUCAUCAGAAAGCCACGGCUAACUACGUGCCAGCAGCCGCGGUAAUACGUAGGUGGCAAGCGUUGUCCGGAAUUAUUGGGCGUAAAGCGCGCGCAGGCGGCCUUUUAAGUCUGAUGUGAAAUCUUGCGGCUCAACCGCAAGCGGCCAUUGGAAACUGGGAGGCUUGAGUACAGAAGAGGAGAGUGGAAUUCCACGUGUAGCGGUGAAAUGCGUAGAUAUGUGGAGGAACACCAGUGGCGAAGGCGACUCUCUGGUCUGUAACUGACGCUGAGGCGCGAAAGCGUGGGGAGCAAACAGG
Molecule: ribosomal RNA, 426 nt
Filed under: uncultured bacterium
Lineage: Bacteria
Description: bacterial SSU rRNA
Rfam family: Bacterial small subunit ribosomal RNA
Source: RNAcentral